GAGAAUUUCUGCGCAGUCCUCACCACACAACCCACAUUCUGCCCAAAGUAAAUUUGACAUUUAUAAGGGCAAUAAAUUCUGCUUUUUCUUCACUGCAUUCCCACUCCUGAAAACCUCAAUGGUUUGCUCAACACACGAAAUUGGUACAAUAUGCUGAUGCAUGCAAUUUCUCUGGCUGAUGACACACUUAUGUACUGAUCCCCCAGUAAUUCGCUUCUGCCUGCAGCUGCUUCUUUUUUUAAGCAAAUGAUAUCUCUUUCAUUCUAUUUUGCACUCGUAUCGUACGCAGUAUUUCACUUUAUCAUCCCUUGCUUUGAGCCUUUGAUGACAAUGACUUGCCAACUGCUAUCUCCCUCUCUAUGUUACUCUUUAUAAAUAGAUUAUUCACUUAAUUUAUAGGAAUAAAAUAAAAUUCUCAUGGUUCUAAGAUGUUUAUUUACUAGGUCUAUUUUAAUUUUUAAAAUCUUUAGGUUCAUAUCUUGUUGAGAUGAAGUUUACAGGAGAUGGUAGUGAAACGUGGUUCCUCUAUCUUGUUCGUAGCAAGCUAGGAACGGUAGUAAGAUGUGUCUACUUCUCCUUAUGCAUUCAUAUCUUUAUAAAUACAUGGAUACAUCAUCAGGAAAAACACCUUUAAUUAACACGGUUUUUUUUAUAUCUCUUUUUAUGAUUUGAAGACGGGAGGGAGUAUAACAUUAUCACGUUAUCACUUCUUUCUGUUAUAUAUGUUUAUAUAUUUCUCUAAGAUAUAGUAAAUUUGAGGGACUAAUAAGUUUUAAAAAAAAAUUAUGGGACUAAUCAAAUGAUGUUUUUAAGAUUUGGAGGGUAAAAAUCAAAUUCAUUCUAAAUUUUAAGCACUGAAAACAUAAUUAAAUCUUCAUUAAAUCCAGAAAUCUUAUCCUUAAUACAUAGUUAUUAAAUAAGUAUAACUUUAAGGAUAAAUUAAUCUACAGGUCAUAGAACUAAAUGAAAAUUUUUAAUUAGGUCCUACCAUUAAUUAUCGUUAACUUCAUUAACGACGAAGACUUCUUAAUUAAAAAAAUAGAAGUCCAGGCAUCCAAUUAUAAUAAUUGUUCAGGGACUUAAUUAAAAUUUUCAAAUGAUUUAUAGACCUACUGAAUAAUUUAAAAGUAAGUUAAAAGUCAUAAAAAAAUAUCACUUAAUUAAAAGAUGUAUUCGGAGGAAAUGCGUUAGGUUUGUCCAAACUAAACCUGUAAGAGAAGACUGAGAAUAUUAACCAGGAUAGAUGAGAAUACUCAGUGCAGACCUACUGAGGUAAAAAUACCAAAUUCAAAAGUAACCUAUAAAGAUUUGAGAAAAAUAUUGUGAAAUUCUAAAGAGAAUUUUAGAAUGAUUGAAGUAAGUCCUUGAACUAUAUAUUUGAAAAUAUUUAAUUAGGUUUUUAAACAAUUUUUUCAAUUGGUUUCUGAACUUCUAUUUCUGUUAUUAGGUCUCUACCGUUAACAAAGUUAAUGACAAUUAAGGACAUGAACCAAAUUAAAAAAGAAAUAAAAGUUCAACGGCUCACUUGAAAAAAAAAUAUAAUUCAAAAACCUAAUUAAAAAUUAUGAAAUAGGGACCUAUAAAUUAAUUUAACCUAAAAUUUUCAAAAUAUAGAAUAUUGAACUAGAUGAUAACUAUUCAAAAUAUAUUACAAACUCAUUUUUAAUAUAGAUCAUUACAAUAAAUUUUUAAAAUUCAAAUUUAUCACAAUAACUUUCAAUCCAGAUGGAUUAAGUGAGAAAAAAAAGUGAUGAAGACACUUGAGUCUUAUCAAAUAGAGCAAUCAUAUGCAUAUAACUCAUUAUCUUAUAAUUCGCUUUCAUCCUCUUUUUCUUUAUCUAUUUCUCUAUUUUUUCCAUGACAUUACAUGUCAUAUUUAUUAUUUAUUAUUUUUUCUUUAUCUUUCUCUUCCCUCUACCAUGAUUCACCUAAAAUGGGAUAUAUGGAUGAGAGAAAAUGGAUCCUCUCACGUGAAACAUUCAUUUGAAUGUUCUCAUGUGAAAAUUUUCACCUUUCAAGUGGCAUGUCUUUCUUUUAUUAUUUAAAUUUUCUUUCUCUUACUUUUAAUUAUAUAUAAGCUAAGAUUUCACGUGAUCGAUAAUAAUGUCAAAUGAUCGAUCCAAACCCGCGUGUACUAUUAACAUUUUAUAUCAAACACUAUCCUAUACAACAUUGAACAUAUAUUAAAUUGUUGGUUAAUGUAAUAAUAAUACUAAUCUUAAGAAACAAUUAAAAAAUGCGCUUUUAUUACGUAGGAAGAACUUCACCAGACAAGCCAACUUUCUGCCCAAAUUAAAUUUGAUAUUUACAGGGGCAAUAAAUUCUCCUUUACUGCAUUCCACUCCUCAAAAUCUCUACAUAUAACCAGUGUCGACCCUCAAUUAGCUUAGUACGAAUAUGCUAUUGCUGAUGUUUCUCUGGCUGGUGAGACAGUUGUGACUCGUGAGUGUGUGAUCCUUUUCAACCACUGAUCCAUCCCCUCCAAUAAUUCUGGCUCUUCCCGCUUGGUUCUAUUUUAAUUAAUUAAGAGGAAGAGUUACUUUGGUUGGAAAAGGUCUAACAAAAAAAUGUGCAAAAGAAAGGGUCCAAGCUCAGAAUUGAGGCAACCGAACAUGCCAACAUCGCCGCCGGAGGUUGUUGAAUCAUCAUCAGGUGAGUUGCCAGAAGAGUUUUCUUGGUCAUCGUGUCUAUCUUCUUCGGUGUCAUCUUCAUCAAAGAUACCAAUUGAGGAUGAAGAGAAUGUGCAACGUGCAAAUGCUUCUCCAGAAACAAAAGCCAUGGAUCUCGUUGGUUGUCCUCGAUGCUUCAUGUACGUCAUGUUAUCCGAGGUGGAUCCAAAGUGCCCUAAGUGCAAGACCACAGUGUUUCUUGAACUUUUCAAAGAUGAAAACUUCAACCCAGAUAAUUAAUUGAGCUUUUCCACGGGGAUUUAAGUUAAUUAUAAUAUAUAUAGGAAGGGAAAAAAUAAAUCUCCUUGAUUCUAGGAUGCUUGUUUAAUGUUUAUCUAUGCUUAUUUAAAAUCUUAAGGAUCAUAUAUUCAUUUCCUGUUGA
Molecule: RNA transcript, 3051 nt
Organism: Glycine soja
Lineage: Eukaryota; Viridiplantae; Streptophyta; Magnoliopsida; Fabales; Fabaceae
Exons: 2
Source: RefSeq, a predicted model, not a curated record